Molecule: long non-coding RNA, 331 nt
Organism: Myotis davidii
Lineage: Eukaryota; Metazoa; Chordata; Mammalia; Chiroptera; Vespertilionidae
Exons: 4
Source: RefSeq, a predicted model, not a curated record
CUCUGAGGUUCAACAGUCUGUUUCAAAAAAGGGCUUCCCAUACCAAAUUUCUCCUUACAUGGGAAUGUUGUGAGGAUUAAAUGAAAUGAUCAGUUCCAGUUCUGCUGCCCACCAAGAUGCUGAAAAGUAUCAACUUCAGAGGAGCUUCAGAGGGAGAAAACUCCAAGUUAUUGUAACAUUCAAGAAUGACAUUUUGACAGCAUUAGUCAAAGGUGUGCAAAUCUUUCUUGAAGGGAUGAAGCUACAUGAGAUUAUUCAUUGCAUGCUUCCUGUUAGAUGGAAGACAAGAGAUCUUCUCUUGUUAUUAUUGGAGAAGAAAAAGGAGGCAUUC